UCCUACGGGAGGCAGCAGUGGGGAAUUUUGGACAAUGGGCGAAAGCCUGAUCCAGCCAUGCCGCGUGAGUGAAGAAGGCCUUCGGGUUGUAAAGCUCUUUCAGACGGAAAGAAAUCGCAUCUUCUAAUACAGGGUGUGGAUGACGGUACCGUAAGAAGAAGCACCGGCUAACUACGUGCCAGCAGCCGCGGUAAUACGUAGGGUGCGAGCGUUAAUCGGAAUUACUGGGCGUAAAGCGUGCGCAGGCGGUGAUGUAAGACAGAUGUGAAAUCCCCGGGCUCAACCUGGGAACUGCGUUUGUGACUGCAUCACUCGAGUACGGCAGAGGGAGGUGGAAUUCCGCGUGUAGCAGUGAAAUGCGUAGAUAUGCGGAGGAACACCGAUGGCGAAGGCAGCCUCCUGGGCCAGUACUGACGCUCAUGCACGAAAGCGUGGGGAGCAAACAGGAUUAGAUACCCUGGUAGUCCACGCCCUAAACGAUGUCAACUAGUUGUUCGGUGAGGAGACUCAUUGAGUAACGCAGCUAACGCGUGAAGUUGACCGCCUGGGGAGUACGGUCGCAAGGUUAAAACUCAAAGGAAUUGACGG
This 588-nucleotide ribosomal RNA is filed under the name uncultured Rhodocyclaceae bacterium. RNAcentral describes it as "bacterial SSU rRNA". It matches the Rfam family "Bacterial small subunit ribosomal RNA", at positions 337 to 916 of the family's 1533-position model. The record is from RNAcentral. Lineage: Bacteria; Pseudomonadati; Pseudomonadota; Betaproteobacteria; Rhodocyclales; Rhodocyclaceae.